Molecule: ribosomal RNA, 250 nt
Filed under: uncultured bacterium
Lineage: Bacteria
Description: partial 16S ribosomal RNA
Rfam family: Bacterial small subunit ribosomal RNA
Source: RNAcentral
UACGGAGGGGGCGAGCGUUAUUCGGAAUUAUUGGGCGUAAAGGGCGCGUAGGCGGCUUUCUAAGUCAAAGGUGAAAUCCCUCGGCUCAACUGAGGAACUGCCUUUGAAACUGGAAGGCUUGAGGCCGGGAGGGGGUAGCGGAAUUCCCAGUGUAGCGGUGAAAUGCGUAGAUAUUGGGAGGAACACCAGUGGCGAAGGCGGCUACCUGGACCGGUUCUGACGCUGAUGCGCGAAAGCGUGGGUAGCAAAC